Molecule: long non-coding RNA, 1271 nt
Organism: Salmo salar (Atlantic salmon)
Lineage: Eukaryota; Metazoa; Chordata; Actinopteri; Salmoniformes; Salmonidae
Source: RefSeq, a predicted model, not a curated record
UUGAGAAAAUUUCAUGUAAUUGUCCCCUCCAAAGUUGAUAUCAGAUUUUCGCCCCUGCUCUAGGCUGUAAAUGGCAGUGAAUAAUGUAAUUUGAAUAACGGCGCAAAAGUCCUGUCAUUUGAACAUUUAAUUCAAUUUAUUCCAUAUAGGUCAGUUGUGGGUCUACUCUCAACAGUUUAUAAGGUCUAGAAAGGCAUUGUAGCAGGCCAGUCUGGCUGUAAUUUUACUUCUGAUAUUGAGAUGCGCUGUUUGUUGCAGAUCAUAAUUCUCCCAAGUCGUCCUUUAAUAAUGUGGCUCCCAGCAGGCCCAGUUAUUCAGGAAAGCUUCAUGCGCACCUAGGACCUGCUUCAAUAGUCCGCAACAGUGGACACGUCAUAAUACCCAUAAAAACACGGAAAUGGUCACAAUGGUUUUUCUGCCAUUCCUUUUUCACAUCGUGAAUAUUACAACAAAUUCUAAUAAAUUGUAUGUUUGGUGUAGGCUUACCUUGGCGUGACAUUUUGAUAGCCGUGUAAUUCUCUCUUGGACAAGUGCCGGGGUCAGCGGAGCUCCCAAGUGACCAGCGACAGGGCCAACAGCCAACUGACUGCCUUCUCUACUCUGACCUCCCUUCGUUAGUAACCCCCUCCCUGGGCUUCUCCUCAGACCUGGGGCUGCUAGGGGGACCUAUUUGUGGUCCGCCACUCGUCUGAGGGGAAGGGGAUAGAGACUGAAGGAACAACAGCUGCUGAUGGGGACAUCACGCUUCCCAUGGAAGAGCAGCAUCCUCCUGAGAGAAGGUGCUGUAAUCUGCAAUAAUCGAAUUCUCAGACAUGCAUGAUAGCCAUAGUAUGUCUCGAAGCCACAUUGUACGUGAGUGAACACAUGACAUUGAACAUAUUGACACAUGACGUCGUGUGAUCUAUAUUGUAUUUACAAAAACAAUCAACAGUGCAAGUCAUAUGAUGAUCUUACAUGGAAAGCUCUUGAAAACGUUCACAGACACACACAAACAGAGAUAUAAAAGCAGUGUUAAAUAGACAAAGUGUUAUUAAAUGUAUUUUGUGUAAAGAGAAUCUUCUGGGGUGCCAGAGGAAUGCAAAGAAUUGUAGGCACUUUUUUCUGACAUGGUAUAGUGAUGCCAUCUAGAGUUGCAAUGUGUAACAUUCACACACAGCAAAGAGCCCAGUGGGUUCACUAGUAGCAAUACAAGGUGACAUCAUCUGUCUGAUAAACAGUCUUGUCUGUUUAAUAAUUUAUUUAAUAAAGUGUUAUUUACUUAAUUGACUUAA